CAGGGAGCGCUGGGGGCGUCGGGCGGGAGGUGGGGCGUCUGCGCCGCGGGGCUCUGGGCUUCAGGACUGAGAAACAAAAGGCAGGAAUCCCGCCUCUUCCUGCUGCUUCCCGCGCUCCGGGGCCGCUCCCGCCGGCCGUGCCCCUCUGCCCGCAUCGGACCCACAGUUUCUAGGGGCGUACUGAUGACCUCAGUGUCGGGUGCGAUGAUCCCUGAGAGCUGAUAUUUGGGACAGUGGGCGGCUCAAAAAAGGCGAUAACUCAAUUUCUGAGGGGAGCAGGGCAGUCAACAAUGCUAUAGAGCCAGGAUCAAUAUGUCUGACCCCAGAAUGGCAUAGUUUUACAGGCGACCCCACUGCUGCCCAGGCCUGCCUCUCAACAUCUGUUAUGCUAGAGCCAAAGAGAGGACUUUCUACUUCAGCUACCAGAAGAGCUGCUGUCCCUGACCAUGGCUAUCACCUCAUGUUACUCAUAUGCCUUUUAAAUCAGAGAAUGUAUCUUCCACCAGGGCUUGGUGGAAAUGUAGUUACAUGUAGAACCCAAGCUGCAAGGGAGUCUGGGAAUGUUUAACUUUCUAGCCUCUGAGGGGCAGAAACCUGUCAGAAGAAUGAGCAGGUGUUAAGGGAGUGCCUGUGCAGUGGCUGCCACAUUGUGUUACAUUGCUGAGUGCAAAUGUGGGGGGUGGGGGGUGGCAAUGUAUUCACAC
Molecule: long non-coding RNA, 704 nt
Organism: Myotis davidii
Lineage: Eukaryota; Metazoa; Chordata; Mammalia; Chiroptera; Vespertilionidae
Exons: 3
Source: RefSeq, a predicted model, not a curated record